GGGGAAUCUUCUGCAAUGGACGAAAGUCUGACGGAGCAACGCCGCGUGAGUGAUGACGGCCUUCGGGUUGUAAAGCUCUGUUAAUCGGGACGAAUGGUUCUUGUGCGAAUAGUGCGAGGAUUUGACGGUACCGGAAUAGAAAGCCACGGCUAACUACGUGCCAGCAGCCGCGGUAAUACGUAGGUGGCAAGCGUUGUCCGGAAUUAUUGGGCGUAAAGCGCGCGCAGGCGGAUUGGUCAGUCUGUCUUAAAAGUUCGGGGCUUAACCCCGUGAUGGGAUGGAAACUGCCAAUCUAGAGUAUCGGAGAGGAAAGUGGAAUUCCUAGUGUAGCGGUGAAAUGCGUAGAUAUUAGGAAGAACACCAGUGGCGAAGGCGACUUUCUGGACGAAAACUGACGCUGAGGCGCGAAAGCCAGGGGAGCGAACGGGAUUAGAUACCCCGGUAGUCCUGGCCGUAAACGAUGGGUACUAGGUGUAGGAGGUAUCGACCCCUUCUGUGCCGGAGUUAACGCAAUAAGUACCCCGCCUGGGGAGUACGACCGCAAGGUUG
Molecule: ribosomal RNA, 549 nt
Filed under: uncultured bacterium
Lineage: Bacteria
Description: bacterial SSU rRNA
Rfam family: Bacterial small subunit ribosomal RNA
Source: RNAcentral